Long non-coding RNA from Anopheles stephensi (Asian malaria mosquito), 941 nucleotides. RefSeq lists it as uncharacterized. NCBI's taxonomy places the organism in Eukaryota, Metazoa, Arthropoda, Insecta, Diptera, Culicidae. The transcript is spliced from 5 exons. The record is from RefSeq and is a predicted model, not a curated record.
GCUAAUGGGGUAGGAUCCGACGCCUCGCUGGAAGGCUAACAUAGGCUCUCCUACUCAACUCCCAGACCGGCACGUCCACGUCGUGCAGAGCGGUCACAUGCGUUGCCCAGGGGUGCAAGGGCUGGUUGGUCCCUUUUCUUCUCUGGUCAAGAAGAAGCUGGUAACGCAUGGCCAAGCCGGAGGGAGGGGUAGUGAAGGAAGGAAGUCAAGGAAGAGAUGGGCCGCCUCUCCUUUUCUACUUCCAACACUACCUAACGGUUCCUGACGACCAAAAUGGGGAGGCUCGUGCCCCGGUCUCCCUGCAAUUGGAAUAACGAUCGAACAAACGUCGGAACAUCCAUUAAAUACCUUUAAUCGUCUUUUUUUGCAAAGAUCAACACGCAAGCAUUCCAUCCAUAGGCUUCUGGGUAGCCUCAACUUUACGUGGAAACGAUAGAACGCUGAUGAUGUCUUCAAAACCAUCUUAUAAACACAUACCAGCUUCUUAUCCACUCUCUGUGGCGCCUACCGGGAGUGUUGAUCUUGUGAAGUUGAUUGACAAUGAGUCGUCGGCCAUGAAGUAACAAUCACACCAUGAGUUCCAUGUGACUUGUAUAACGGUUUUACUACAUAAUACGAUGGUUAAGGAUUGAAACCAACUACCAUCAUAUCAUAUUCGUGCUUCAAUACUCGAGCGGACCGAUUUUAAAUGCCAGCUCAUCUGUAGUGUGCAUUUCAAGUGGUGGGCAAACGAAUAUUCCACAUUCACUGCUUGAUCUAAAGAAACUGACCCAGCCAGACUCAUCAACCAGCAGUCUGAAACUUGGGAUUUCGAGUAUGUAAUCCACCAUGAUCAAUCGACGAAACUACCAUUAUCAUCAAGAUUCGUCCAUUUUGUCCAUGACAAUACGCAGCUUCUUCGAGGCUCCACUCGGAAAAACGAGGGUUGCUUGCCAACCCAU